CAGUAGCCGCGGUAACACGAGGGGGGCAAGCGUUGUUCGGAAUUAUUGGGCGUAAAGGGUGCGUAGGCGGUUUGGCAAGUUUGGUGUGAAAUCUUCGGGCUCAACUCGAAGUCUGCAUCGAAAACUGCCGGGCUUGAGUAUGGGAGAGGUGAGUGGAAUUUCCGGUGUAGCGGUGAAAUGCGUAGAUAUCGGAAGGAACACCUGUGGCGAAAGCGGCUCACUGGACCAUAACUGACGCUGAUGCACGAAAGCUAGGGGAGCAAACAGGAUUAGAGACCCGUGUAGUCCCUGUCUCUUAUAC
RNAcentral lists this ribosomal RNA (301 nucleotides) under uncultured bacterium. RNAcentral describes it as "partial 16S ribosomal RNA". It matches the Rfam family "Bacterial small subunit ribosomal RNA", at positions 509 to 807 of the family's 1533-position model. The record is from RNAcentral.